This 468-nucleotide ribosomal RNA is filed under the name uncultured bacterium. RNAcentral's name for it is "partial 16S ribosomal RNA". It matches the Rfam family "Bacterial small subunit ribosomal RNA", at positions 28 to 507 of the family's 1533-position model. The record is from RNAcentral.
GACGAACGCUGGCGGCGUGCUUAACACAUGCAAGUCGAACGGAAAGGCCCUGCUUUUGUGGGGUUCUCGAGUGGCGAACGGGUGAGUAACACGUGAGUAACCUGCCCUUGACUUUCGGAUAACUUCACGAAACUGGGGCUAAUAUCGGAUAUGAGCUCCUGCUCCAUGGUGGGCGUUGGAAAGUUUCGGCGGUUGGGGAUCGACUCGCUGCUUAUCAGCUUGUUGGUGGGGUAGUGGCUUACCAGGGCUUUGACGGGUAGCCGGCCUGAGAGGGGGACCGGCGACAUUGGGACUGAGAGACGGAGCAGAAGCGUACGGGAGGCAGCAGGGGGGAAUAUGACAGAGUGGGGGGAAGCCUGAUGCAGCAACGCUGGGAGCGGGAUGACGUGUUUCGGGGGGUAAACAGAUGUGGCAUGUGACGAAGCGUGCGUGACGGUAAUGAGUAAAGAAGCACCGGCUAACUACGUG